ACAUAAACCUAAUAAAAAUUGCAUGACAAGAGUAGAAACUUAAUUUUUAGGAGCAUUCAUCAUUGUAGAUUUAUUUUUGAUGAUCGCUGGAGACAAGAUAAGCUUUCAAGUUUUAUUAGUUUCAUGCAUCUAAUUUAGUUGCAUAGAACCCCUUGUUUGAAAUUGAUUGUGCAUAUUCAUCUCAAAUCAAUUUAAGGGCAAUACCCAUAACAAGAUAAAGUGAAGAUUUCAUCACCCUUUCUUAGCUCAAAAACAACCAACCAGCAUCUUGCAUUAACCCAAAUCUAACUAAAAUCAAGUAGACAUUGGCCCCU
This 314-nucleotide long non-coding RNA is filed under the name Elaeis guineensis (African oil palm). Its description in RNAcentral is "long non-coding RNA (EGUI_LNC080043)". Lineage: Eukaryota; Viridiplantae; Streptophyta; Magnoliopsida; Arecales; Arecaceae. The record is from RNAcentral.